GGCUACGGCCAUAUCACGAUGAAUGCACCUCAUCCCGUCCGAUUUGAGAAGUUAAGCAUCGUCGAGCCACAUCAGUGCUGAGGUUGGAGACAACUUGGGAACCUGUGGUGCUGUAGUCU
Molecule: ribosomal RNA, 119 nt
Filed under: Naegleria gruberi
Lineage: Eukaryota; Heterolobosea; Eutetramitea; Acrasida; Naegleriidae
Source: RNAcentral